UACUAGACACGUUGGUAACAUAAUGCACAAUAUUCAACACAAAUAUAUGCAUAAACUUGCAGAGAGAAACACCAAGGGUUAAUUCUGUUAGGAAUUGUUUUUUGUUGUCACAGAUAACCAAGGAGUUACAUACCACAGAUUUCCUCUUUCAAAGACGGAAUCUCAUUGUUAUUUGUUAGUUUGUAUUUAAAGUUGUUUCAUUUUAUAUUCUCUGUAAUUCUUUAAUUUAUCAUUCUAUCAUAUUUGUUUGUUUUAUUUCUACUUUUUUAAAAUCUCAUCUUUGCAGCUGUUAAUCUACUAAUAUUGCCCCACGGACAAAAACCCCCACCACCCAUCAUGAAAGCUUGAAUCGCCCACUAGUGGGCGGUAGGGACCAGGUUGACGACCCCCGAGCUAAAUCAACUCAUAUAAAUCAUAUAUAUCAAAGACACUGAAGUGAAACCAAAGAAAUUAGAACUCCAGAGGCUUAACUCAGUUGUAUGGAGAAAUACAGCUAUUAACUGCUUUCAAGUGAAUACCAGCUACAAUAGUUUUAAGUUAAAGAAAU
Zootermopsis nevadensis is the source of this 547-nucleotide long non-coding RNA. RefSeq lists it as uncharacterized. NCBI's taxonomy places the organism in Eukaryota, Metazoa, Arthropoda, Insecta, Blattodea, Termopsidae. The record is from RefSeq and is a predicted model, not a curated record.